AGAGUUCGCUUUCCUCCGCAAGUCCCACCUUUAUAAAAGUUACCCUACUCUACAAUUUAAGGCAUCGCAAACUUUGCAUUUUAUAGAAAGGAGAAAGUGGGUGUUAUCUUAUUUAUUAUUAGCUUCAAUGCAUGAAUAACUUUUAAUGGUAGCGGUUGAGAGUUGCAAGCACAUCUGUGAAACAUAAACUGUAAUCAAGAUAAAAUCGUUGCAAGUUCCACAAUUA
Molecule: long non-coding RNA, 226 nt
Organism: Zophobas morio
Lineage: Eukaryota; Metazoa; Arthropoda; Insecta; Coleoptera; Tenebrionidae
Exons: 3
Source: RefSeq, a predicted model, not a curated record